RNAcentral lists this ribosomal RNA (462 nucleotides) under Vreelandella stevensii. RNAcentral describes it as "partial 16S ribosomal RNA". It matches the Rfam family "Bacterial small subunit ribosomal RNA", at positions 338 to 795 of the family's 1533-position model. The record is from RNAcentral. Lineage: Bacteria; Pseudomonadati; Pseudomonadota; Gammaproteobacteria; Oceanospirillales; Halomonadaceae.
CCUACGGGCGGCAGUGGGGAAUAUUGGACAAUGGGCGAAAGCCUGAUCCAGCCAUGCCGCGUGUGUGAAGAAGGCCUUCGGGUUGUAAAGCACUUUCAGUGGGGAAGAAAGCCUUGGGGCUAAUACCCUCGAGGAAGGACAUCACCCACAGAAGAAGCACCGGCUAACUCCGUGCCAGCAGCCGCGGUAAUACGGAGGGUGCGAGCGUUAAUCGGAAUUACUGGGCGUAAAGCGCGCGUAGGCGGUCUGAUAAGCCGGUUGUGAAAGCCCCGGGCUCAACCUGGGAACGGCAUCCGGAACUGUCAGGCUAGAGUGCAGGAGAGGAAGGUAGAAUUCCCGGUGUAGCGGUGAAAUGCGUAGAGAUCGGGAGGAAUACCAGUGGCGAAGGCGGCCUUCUGGACUGACACUGACGCUGAGGUGCGAAAGCGUGGGUAGCAAACAGGAUUAGAUACCCGAGUAGUC